RNAcentral lists this ribosomal RNA (975 nucleotides) under uncultured Methanocorpusculum sp. RNAcentral describes it as "bacterial SSU rRNA". It matches the Rfam family "Archaeal small subunit ribosomal RNA", at positions 4 to 987 of the family's 1478-position model. Lineage: Archaea; Methanobacteriati; Methanobacteriota; Methanomicrobia; Methanomicrobiales; Methanocorpusculaceae. The record is from RNAcentral.
CCGGUUGAUCCCGCCGGAGGCCAUUGCUAUCAGGGUUUGACUAAGCCAUGCGAGUCGAGAGGUGUAAGACCUCGGCAUACUGCUCAGUAACACGUGGUUAACCUGCCCUAAGGUGGAGAAUACUCCCGGGAAACUGGGGCUAAUGCUCCAUAGUGGAUAUGUCCUGGAAUGGUAUAUCCUCGAAAGAUCCGUCGCCUUAGGAUGGGACUGCGUCCGAUUAGGUUGUUGGCGGGGUAACGGCCCACCAAGCCUUUUAUCGGUACGGGUUGUGGGAGCAAGAUCCCGGAGAUGGAUUCUGAGACAUGAAUCCAGGUCCUACGGGGCGCAGCAGGCGCGCAAACUUUACAAUGCGAGCAAUCGUGAUAAGGAAACCCUGAGUGCCUGUCGAUGCAGGCUGUUCAUAUAUCUAAAUCAUAUGUGAAGAAAGGGCAGGGCAAGACCGGUGCCAGCCGCCGCGGUAAUACCGGCUGCUCGAGUGAUGGCCACUAUUACUGGGUUUAAAGCGUCCGUAGCUUGACUGUUAGGUCUCUUGGGAAAUCUUCGCGCUCAACGUGAAGGCGUCUAAGAGAUACCGGCAGUCUUGGAACUGGGAGAGGUAAACCGUACUUCGGGGGUAGGAGUGAAAUCUUGUAAUCCUCGAGGGACGACCUAUGGCGAAGGCAGUUUACCAGAACAGCUUCGACAGUGAGGGACGAAAGCUGGGGGAGCAAACGGGAUUAGAUACCCCGGUAGUCCCAGCCGUAAACAAUGUGCGUUAGGUGUGUCGGUAACCACGUGUUACUGAUGCGCCGAAGAGAAAUCGUGAAACGCACCACCUGGGAAGUACGGUCGCAAGGCUGAAACUUAAAGGAAUUGGCGGGGGAGCACCAUAACAGGUGGAGCCUGCGGUUUAAUUGGAUUCAACGCCGGACAUCUCACCGGAUAAGACAGCUGAAUGAUUGUCAAUCUGAAGGUUUUACAUGACUAGCUGAGGGG